UAGAGUUUGAUCCUGGCUCAGGAUGAACGCUGGCGGCGUGCCUAAUACAUGCAAGUCGAGCGAACUGAUUAGAAGCUUGCUUCUAUGACGUUAGCGGCGGACGGGUGAGUAACACGUGGGCAACCUGCCUGUAAGACUGGGAUAACUUCGGGAAACCGAAGCUAAUACCGGAUAGGAUCUUCUCCUUCAUGGGAGAUGAUUGAAAGAUGGUUUCGGCUAUCACUUACAGAUGGGCCCGCGGUGCAUUAGCUAGUUGGUGAGGUAACGGCUCACCAAGGCAACGAUGCAUAGCCGACCUGAGAGGGUGAUCGGCCACACUGGGACUGAGACACGGCCCAGACUCCUACGGGAGGCAGCAGUAGGGAAUCUUCCGCAAUGGACGAAAGUCUGACGGAGCAACGCCGCGUGAGUGAUGAAGGCUUUCGGGUCGUAAAACUCUGUUGUUAGGGAAGAACAAGUACAAGAGUAACUGCUUGUACCUUGACGGUACCUAACCAGAAAGCCACGGCUAACUACGUGCCAGCAGCCCCGGUCAA
This 536-nucleotide ribosomal RNA is filed under the name uncultured bacterium. Its description in RNAcentral is "bacterial SSU rRNA". It matches the Rfam family "Bacterial small subunit ribosomal RNA", at positions 1 to 524 of the family's 1533-position model. The record is from RNAcentral.